Molecule: long non-coding RNA, 273 nt
Filed under: Coffea arabica (coffee)
Lineage: Eukaryota; Viridiplantae; Streptophyta; Magnoliopsida; Gentianales; Rubiaceae
Description: long non-coding RNA (CARA_LNC004626)
Source: RNAcentral
UCAAAAGAUAAUUAAUACUCUCUUACAACCAGCUUUUUCUCAAAACUUAAGCUUAAAGAGGGAACUAUUCACACAAAUUAUCAACAAAUGCUUAAGUUACGAGAGUGCCUUUUGACGUGAAGAUCGACACUUUUAAGUGAGGGCCCCCAGUUACUCAACACUCGCAUACUCAAGUCACUCAACUACUCUUAAUUCAAGUACCUUUUUAUGCAAAAUUGACAUUUUUAGAUGAAAACUCUCGAUUACUUAGUACAAGAAUCAUUGGAGUAAAAC